RNAcentral lists this ribosomal RNA (731 nucleotides) under uncultured Tannerella sp. RNAcentral's name for it is "bacterial SSU rRNA". It matches the Rfam family "Bacterial small subunit ribosomal RNA", at positions 141 to 872 of the family's 1533-position model. The record is from RNAcentral. Lineage: Bacteria; Pseudomonadati; Bacteroidota; Bacteroidia; Bacteroidales; Tannerellaceae.
GGAUAACCCGGCGAAAGUCGGACUAAUACCGCAUAAAACAGGGGUCCCGCAUGGGAAUAUUUGUUAAAGAUUUAUCGGUUGCGGAUGGGCAUGCGUACCAUUAGGUAGUUGGUGAGGUAACGGCUCACCAAGCCUUCGAUGGUUAGGGGUUCUGAGAGGAAGGUCCCCCACACUGGUACUGAGACACGGACCAGACUCCUACGGGAGGCAGCAGUGAGGAAUAUUGGUCAAUGGGCGAGAGCCUGAACCAGCCAAGUCGCGUGAAGGAUGACUGCCCUAUGGGUUGCAAACUUCUUUUACAAGGGAAUAAAAUGAGAUACGUGUAUUUUAUUGCAUGUACCUUGGGAAUAAGCAUCGGCUAACUCCGUGCCAGCAGCCGCGGUAAUACGGAGGAUGCGAGCGUUAUCCGGAUUUAUUGGGUUUAAAGGGUGCGUAGGUGGGCUGUUAAGUCAGCGGUGAAAGUUUGUCGCUUAACGAUAAAAUUGCCGUUGAAACUGGUAGUCUUGAGUAUAGAUGAAGUAGGCGGAAUGCGUGGUGUAGCGGUGAAAUGCAUAGAGAUCACGCAGAACUCCGAUUGCGAAGGCAGCUUACUAAGGUAUAACUGACACUGAAGCACGAAAGCGUGGGUAUCAAACAGGAUUAGAUACCCUGGUAGUCCACGCAGUAAACGAUGAUUACUAGGAGUUUGCGAUAUACAGUAAGCUCUACAGCGAAAGCGUUUAGUAAUCCAC